UUAAUCCAAAUAGGCUAAAAAAGCAAAUAGUGAAUUUGAUCGGCUAUUUGUGUAAAUAUUAGUAUCGGUAAUGGGUUAAUUUGGGCCCGACUCCACCCGUUCCAAGCUGACCCAUAUCAUUCCCCAAAUCAUACUGUCCUUGAGAUCUCUCUCGUCUGUGUUCGCCCUGAAAGAAGCUUUCUUCAACAAACGAAGUUUUUCAACCGGGGUCUUUGAAGAUGAUACAGAAUGUUCAACAUCAACUUUUGCAAUCGCCUGCCCGGCUGGGCCUGCCAACUCCCAGUUCACCUUCUGUACAAAACCCAGCCCCUCCUCCUAAGUUCUCCUCGCAAGUGUCGCAAACUCCUCAACCCAAUCAACAGACAAAUGUAUUAACUACCACUACCACCUCAUCAACGCUACUUCCUCUUCUCCCACCUCUCUCUAGAGCUCAGUCUCUUCUCAUUCAAAUGGCAUCUCUUUCUUCAAGACUCUUUGAAGUCUCACCUAACCGGUCCCAUUGGCUUAGUGCUUUUCGUGGCUCUCUCCCUUCAUUUCUGCCUUCUGCGGGACCGGCUCCACAAGGUUCCUGCCCGUCAUCCUCAAAAGAAAUCCUCUCUGUGUUUACUUCUCUUCAGACACAGCUGUUUGAAGCAGUUGCCGAACUACAAGAAAUUCUUGAUCUUCAAGAUGAGAAGCACAAAGUCACCCGUGAAAUUAGGUCAAAUGAUUCUGCAAUUCUUGCUUUUGCCAACAAACUCAAAGGAGCUGAGCGUGUUCUUGACAAUCUUGUUGAUGAUUACUCCGAUUAUCGUCGUCCCAAACGGGCCAAGUUCGAAAAUGAUACUGAAGAAUCUUCAGUAACAACUGUGGCAACUCAGUUGAAAUUAUCCGACAUAUUGUCAUAUGCUCAUAGGAUAAGCUACACUACUUUUGCACCACCUGAAUUUGGUGGUGGACAAGCUCCUCUUCGGGGAGCACUCCCACCGGCCCCACAGGACGAGCAAAUGCGUGCAUCUCAAUUAUAUAAUUUUGCUGAUCUUGAUAUUGGUUUACCUAAAACAGAUGAAGGCAAAGAAAAUAUUUUGGAGCCACUCAUUGAACCUCCUGCAGAAAGUAACCCACUUGCGAAUCUUUCAGCAAUUCAGGGCCUCCUCCCUCCACCUGGUUGGAAGCCUGGUAUGCCUGUUGAGUUGCCGACUGAUCUCCCACUUCCUCCACCUGGGUGGAAGCCUGGCGAUCCAGUUGCUCUUCCUCCAGUGGAUUCUCUUCCACUUCAAAAGGUCGAGGAGGCACCAGCACGACCAGUACCUCCUCCAGGACUGCCAAGAAUGCCCGAGCCAAUACAGGUUCGGCAUGUGCAGCUUGAUAUUGAGGAUGAUAGUAGCGAGUAUAGUUCUGAUGACGCCAGCUCUGAUAGUGAAGAUUGAUGUGGUUAGCUGUUUUGAGUAGCUAAUAAAGGUUCAGCAUGUGCACCUUGAUAUUUACUUCUCCUUGCACAGAGCAGCGUUUUCUCUUAUUUGCCUCACUAUUGGAUGACUCCUUUUCUCUCAAACAACAGUGGGUAUGUGGAGUAUAAGAGGAGAAGAUGAGGAAGAAAGAGAGAUGUGAGCAAGGGGGAGAGUGGUCUCCAACGAUUAACUUUUCAAUCAAAUCUUGUUUGAGUCUUUAGUUUAGAUACAUUAUAAAUUGUUAUCAAAUAGUAUAUACUAUGUUAAAUAGUUUAAAUCUUAUCAAUUUAGUGAUCUACUUAUGUUAUAUUAAAAAAAAUUCAAAUAUAUUGCUGAAAUAAUAUUUAAUUUCUAUAUUUUUAAAUUUUUAUAUUUAAUAACUCUUUUAAUUAUACAUAUUCGGAUCUUAAGAACAAACAGAAAAGUAUCUGAACUUAAUUCAAGAUGAGGAAAUUUUAUGAGCAAAAGGAGAACGAGACAAGCAAGAGGUGUAGCUGUCAAUAAGAGAAAACCGUGCAUGAGCUGUUAGAUAACUGUCUUCAUUACAAAAAUGGACGUUUCCUUUGUCUCAUGGCAUGGGACCAGCUUCUUUUUUUUCCCUAUCGUCCUAUCCCCAACACUCGUCUGUUAUCCCCCUUCAACACUCAGUACAUCUAAUUUUUAAUUUUUUUUUUUUUUUUUUAAAUUACAUUGUAAAAAAACUACAUGUAUAGAGACACAGAAUUCGUAUAAUUUUG
Lycium barbarum (goji berry) is the source of this 2167-nucleotide RNA transcript. It is a transcript of the gene named mediator of RNA polymerase II transcription subunit 4-like, with no coding region annotated. The transcript is spliced from 3 exons. The record is from RefSeq and is a predicted model, not a curated record. NCBI's taxonomy places the organism in Eukaryota, Viridiplantae, Streptophyta, Magnoliopsida, Solanales, Solanaceae.